Molecule: ribosomal RNA, 482 nt
Filed under: uncultured bacterium
Lineage: Bacteria
Description: bacterial SSU rRNA
Rfam family: Bacterial small subunit ribosomal RNA
Source: RNAcentral
UUGAACGCUGGCGGCAUGCUUUACACAUGCAAGUCGAACGGUAACAGGGAGCUUGCUCCGCUGACGAGUGGCGAACGGGUGAGUAAUGCAUCGGAACGUGCCGUGUAAUGGGGGAUAACGUAGCGAAAGUUACGCUAAUACCGCAUACGCCCUGAGGGGAAAGUGGGGGACCGCAAGACCUUGCGCUAUACGAGCGGCCGAUGUCAGAUUAGCUAGUUGGUAGGGUAAAGGCCUACCAAGGCGACGAUCUGUAGCGGGUCUGAGAGGAUGAUCCGCCACACUGGGACUGAGACACGGCCCAGACUCCUACGGGAGGCAGCAGUGGGGAAUUUUGGACAAUGGGCGAAAGCCUGAUCCAGCCAUGCCGCGUGAGUGAAGAAGGCCUUCGGGUUGUAAAGCUCUUUCGGCUGGGAAGAAAUCGCACAGGCUAAUACUCUGUGUGGAUGACGGUACCAGCACAAGAAGCACCGGCUAACUACGUG